UGACGGUACCUGACUAAGAAGCUCCGGCUAAAUACGUGCCAGCAGCCGCGGUAAUACGUAUGGAGCAAGCGUUAUCCGGAUUUACUGGGUGUAAAGGGUGCGUAGGUGGCAGGGCAAGUCAGAUGUGAAAGACCGGGGCUCAACUCCGGGGCUGCAUUUGAAACUGUCUUGCUAGAGUGCAGGAGGGGCAAGCGGAAUUCCUAGUGUAGCGGUGAAAUGCGUAGAUAUUAGGAGGAACACCGGUGGCGAAGGCGGCUUGCUGGACUGAAACUGACACUGAGGCACGAAAGCGUGGGGAGCAAACAGGAUUAGAUACCCUG
This 320-nucleotide ribosomal RNA is filed under the name uncultured bacterium. RNAcentral describes it as "bacterial SSU rRNA". It matches the Rfam family "Bacterial small subunit ribosomal RNA", at positions 470 to 789 of the family's 1533-position model. The record is from RNAcentral.